RNAcentral lists this ribosomal RNA (237 nucleotides) under Belonogaster juncea colonialis. RNAcentral's name for it is "partial 28S ribosomal RNA". It matches the Rfam family "Eukaryotic large subunit ribosomal RNA", at positions 674 to 877 of the family's 3401-position model. The record is from RNAcentral. Lineage: Eukaryota; Metazoa; Arthropoda; Insecta; Hymenoptera; Vespidae.
UCUAACAUGUGCGCGAGUCAUUGGGACUGCGAAGCCUAAAGGCGAAAUGAAAGUGAAGGUCGUACCGUAAGGUCGACAGAGGGAGGAUGGGCCGUGUCUGGGCGCGGCUCCGCACUCCCGGGGCGUCUCGUUCUCAUUGCGAGAAGAGGCGCACCCAGAGCGUACACGUUGGGACCCGAAAGAUGGUGAACUAUGCCUGGUCAGGACGAAGUCAGGGGAAACCCUGAUGGAGGUCCG